AGGUCAUUAACCAAGUUAACGGCGGGGUACAUCCGCGAGGAUCAUUAAUGAGAUGGCAGUCCCCUCGGGUAGACCUCCCACCCCUGUUUACCGUACCCGUUGCUUUGGCGGUCCCCGUCGCGAGACGGGCCGCCAGAGAACCCUUUAAACCCGUAUUAUCAUUGUCGUCUGAGUACUAUACAAUAGUUAAAA
Molecule: unclassified non-coding RNA, 192 nt
Filed under: plant metagenome
Description: partial contains small subunit ribosomal RNA and internal transcribed spacer 1
Source: RNAcentral